AGUGGCGGACGGGUGAGUAACGCGUGAGAAUCUGCCUUGGGGUCGGGGACAACCACUGGAAACGGUGGCUAAUACCGGAUAAGCCGAUUGGUGAAAGAUUUAUUGCCCGAAGAGGAGCUCGCGUCUGAUUAGCUAGUUGGUGAGGUAAGAGCUCACCAAGGCAGCGAUCAGUAGCUGGUCUGAGAGGACGAUCAGCCACACUGGGACUGAGACACGGCCCAGACUCCUACGGGAGGCAGCAGUGGGGAAUUUUCCGCAAUGGGCGAAAGCCUGACGGAGCAAGACCGCGUGAGGGAGGAAGGCUCUUGGGUUGUAAACCUCUUUUCUCAGGGAAGAAGCUCUGACGGUACCUGAGGAAUCAGCCUCGGCUAACUCCGUGCCAGCAGCCGCGGUAAUACGGAGGAGGCAAGCGUUAUCCGGAAUUACUGGGCGUAAAGCGUCCGCAGGUGGCAAUUCAAGUCUGCUGUCAAAGCACGGGGCUUAACUCCGUUAAGGCAGUGGAAACUGAAUAGCUAGAGUGCCGUAGGGGUAGAGGGAAUUCCCGGUGUAGCGGUGAAAUGCGUAGAGAUCGGGAAGAACAUCGGUGGCGAAAGCGCUCUACUGGACGGCAACUGACACUCAGGGACGAAAGCUAGGGGAGCGAAUGGGAUUAGAUACCCC
Molecule: ribosomal RNA, 660 nt
Filed under: uncultured bacterium
Lineage: Bacteria
Description: bacterial SSU rRNA
Rfam family: Bacterial small subunit ribosomal RNA
Source: RNAcentral